ACCAAUCAGUUGCCGCUGUGACAUUGCGCCGAGGCUCUGAAGUGGGUAAUUGCAGACCAAAGCUAGGCUGGAAUACUGUGUUUGGGGUGGUCUUUAGAGUCGUGGUCUCUUUAGCGUUAUGAAGCCUACCUUGACUCCUAGAUGUUCAUUGUGAAUCUUGUUGGUGCUGGUAUCGCUGUACCUCUCAAAUAGCUUCCCCAUUUUGACUAAGAAUGAAGAGCUUCUUGGAUAAAGAACUUGUAAAAAUCAGAAUUCUUGAACACUAUUUGGACAGUCUAUAUACCGGAAGCCCAUCAGUCACAGAGCAACAAGCCAUGGGCAGGGAAUGAAAGGAGUUGAUCCUGACUCCAAGAUGCAUUCCAAAGAAAGAAAACGCAACUGUAGCCCUGACUCCGCGGAGGAAGGCCAACUGACUCCACUACGUGCACUUCCGAGCCACUUGGGCCCAGCUAGCUGUGUUAAUUAUGGGUUCUAAUUUUAUUGCAACUCGGCACCUCCUGGUUUGUUCCCACUAUAGUGGUCUUAAAAAGAAACACACACAGGCAUACCCCAGAAUGAAUCCCCGGGAAGGCAAAGGUAGAUUUUUUCGGUGCUUGAGUUGAUGCUCUGAGAGCGCGCUGAAAGUCUCGGGCAUGUCUUGGCACUCUUGGAAACAAAUUGCAGCCAAGAGCACGGUUCUUCCGGUCCUCUCCUUGCUCCUCUGUGCGCCGCUCGGCCGCGGGACUCCUGGAACAUGUUGUGCACCGCCCGAGUGGCUGCGGACCUCACCUCGAGGCCCUGGAUAGCCGGGGCCAGGAGGAGACGAGCAGGCAGUCUCCCGCCCUCACCUAGUCAGCUGCGACCUCCGCGGCGUGGACUCUUGGCCAGCAGUGAGGAGGACAAGGUUGCAGAUCCUAUUUGCUGCGGGUUCUGGGUCCGGCCUUGGGCGGCAUUCUGUCUUCUAAAGUGUGGAGGUGGGUAGAAGACUGUCCACUUUCAGUGUAGACACCUGCGGUAUGGGGGCUUCUUUGGGGGCUCCAGCGUGAGCUGCUCCUGCAGAUUAGGGAAAUGGAGAGAACAACAAUGGGGACAUGGUGGAAUUCAGAUUUCCCCCUGUUAAUUAACAAUAUGAUUUCGCUUAGUCCAAGUGUCUUCUGUGCUCUUAUUUAAUGUCUCUUGUAAAAUGGGAACUAGAAUAAUACCUCCUUGGUAUGGUUGUUGUGUUUGACGUGAGCCCUCAACAAAUGGUAGGAUGAACUGGAGAAGAAUGGGUCCAUCACUCCCCACACCCUUCCCUGCAGAGCUUCUUUGCUGUCUCCAGCUCUCCCGCCCUGACGCAAGGACAGCUCACAACCAGUGUCCUUGAGUAGCCCCUGGGGGCCGCAAGAGAAUCCAGCCCGGUAGGGCAUACAAGAUGGGUUUUCGGUGAAUCGUGAAAAGACAUGAUCGGGUUUCCCUUGGAGCAUGGUGGAGAAUGAUGCGGAGCCUUGGGGUCAAUGGAGAGUUGAGGGUGCAGAGGGAUCUGAAAGGGGGAACCAAAAAUAUCGGGCUUUGAAGUUCUGUGGAUUUUCAAAGGCGGUUCCCAACCUUGUCAAAAACUACAGUGGGUGCGCGAUCUAAUUUGGCUCCUAUAGGUGGCGCUGUGACAAGGUGCGGUGGCCGGGAGGGGCAGCUGGGGGACUCCAAGACUGCGGGAAAUUUUCUGCGACUCCGACGCUAACCCGCUGCUCCCAGCCUCCGCUUCUUGUUUUCGAGGGAU
RNAcentral lists this long non-coding RNA (1738 nucleotides) under Pan troglodytes (chimpanzee). RNAcentral's name for it is "bidirectional promoter lncRNA". The record is from RNAcentral. Lineage: Eukaryota; Metazoa; Chordata; Mammalia; Primates; Hominidae.